ACAGAGGGUGCAAGCGUUAAUCGGAAUUACUGGGCGUAAAGCGUGCGCAGACGGUUGCGUAAGUCAGAUGUGAAAGCCCCGGGCUCAACCUGGGAAUUGCAUUUGAGACUGCGUAGCUAGGGUGCGGAAGAGGGAAGCGGAAUUUCCGGUGUAGCGGUGAAAUGCGUAGAUAUCGGAAGGAACACCAGUGGCGAAAGCGGCGCACUGGACCACAACUGACGCUGAGGCGCGAAAGCUAGGGGAGCAAACAGGA
Molecule: ribosomal RNA, 253 nt
Filed under: uncultured prokaryote
Description: partial 16S ribosomal RNA
Rfam family: Bacterial small subunit ribosomal RNA
Source: RNAcentral